RNAcentral lists this ribosomal RNA (301 nucleotides) under uncultured bacterium. RNAcentral describes it as "partial 16S ribosomal RNA". It matches the Rfam family "Bacterial small subunit ribosomal RNA", at positions 509 to 808 of the family's 1533-position model. The record is from RNAcentral.
CAGUCGCCAGCGGUAAUACGAAGGGGGCUAGCGUUGCUCGGAAUGACUGGGCGUAAAGGGUGCGUAGGCGGUUCGUUAAGUCUGUCGUGAAAUCCCCGGGCUCAACCUGGGAAUGGCGAUGGAUACUGGCAAGCUAGAGUGUGUCAGAGGAUGGUGGAAUUUCCGGUGUAGCGGUGAAAUGCGUAGAGAUCGGAAGGAACAUCAGUGGCGAAGGCAGCCCCCUGGGCCAAUACUGACGCUAAUGCACGAAAGCGUGGGGAGCAAACAGGAUUAGAUACCCCUGUAGUCCCUGUCUCUUAUU